Molecule: non-coding RNA, 208 nt
Organism: Plutella xylostella (diamondback moth)
Lineage: Eukaryota; Metazoa; Arthropoda; Insecta; Lepidoptera; Plutellidae
Source: RefSeq, a predicted model, not a curated record
GGUUGCGCCGCCCUCUUUCCCGAUCCAGCCGUCGAAGCGUUAGCACUGUUCAGCUCGUAUCUAGUGUAGCUAGGUUAUUUAGUGAUAGGUUAUAGUUGUGUUUAGCGUGGUUUAGUUUGGUAAUUUAGCUGUGUAAAUUAUUGUUCAUAAAUGAUUAAGUAAAUAAGUUUGUAAAUAUUAAUUGAUUAAAGGUUGUAGGUAACAUGUG